RNAcentral lists this transfer RNA (32 nucleotides) under Drosophila inca. Its description in RNAcentral is "partial tRNA-Leu". The record is from RNAcentral. Lineage: Eukaryota; Metazoa; Arthropoda; Insecta; Diptera; Drosophilidae.
UCCAUAUAUAAAGUAUUUCACUUUUAUUAGAA